Long non-coding RNA from Zea mays, 365 nucleotides. RefSeq lists it as uncharacterized. The transcript is spliced from 3 exons. NCBI's taxonomy places the organism in Eukaryota, Viridiplantae, Streptophyta, Magnoliopsida, Poales, Poaceae. The record is from RefSeq and is a predicted model, not a curated record.
GUAACAUAAUAUGUCUCAUAUGUUUAUCUACAUCUUGUGACAGUUGCUGGUGAAUAAUAGGACAGCAAGCGCCAGUGAAAUAGUUGCUUCAGCACUUCAUGACAAUUGCAAAGCUGUUCUUGUUGGCGAAAGGACUUUUGGCAAGGGCUUAAUCCAAUCUGUAUUUGAACUUCAUGAUGGUUCUGGUAUUGUCGUCACAGUUGGCAAAUACAUGACACCAAACCACAAGGAUAUCAAUGGGAAUGGAAUAGAACCGGAUUACAAUCGUCUUCCUGGUACUCUAAGAAAACGCCAGAUUUCUUUUGUGGCAAUUGAAUUCUGCAAUGUAAUUCCCGUUUGCUGGUUUCCCUUUUGUGGCAGAUUUC